CCAAUAGCGUAUAUUAAAGUUGUUGCAGUUAAAAAGCUCGUAGUUGAAUUUCGGGAUCAAUAUGUCGGUCGUGCUUCGGUACGUACUGGCGUUAUUGGUUUCUCCCUUCUGAAGAACCGCGAUGUCAUUAAUUUGGUGUCGUGGGGAAUCAGGACUGUUACUUUGAAAAAAUUAGAGUGUUUAAAGCAGGCUCGCGCUUGAAUACAUUAGCAUGGAAUAAUGAAAUAGGACGUUUGAUUCUAUUUUGUUGGUUUCUAGGAUCGACGUAAUGAUUAAUAGGGAUAGUUGGGGGCAUUAGUAUUCAAUUGUCAGAGGUGAAAUUCUUGGAUUUAUUGAAGACUAACUACUGCGAAAGCAUUUGCCAAGGAUGUUUUCAUUAAUCAAGAACGAAAGUUAGGGGAUCGAAGACGAUCAGAUACCGUCGUAGUCUUAACCAUAAACUAUGCCGACUAGGGAUCGGAUGAUGUUAAUUUUUUAAUGACUCAUUCGGCGCCUUACG
RNAcentral lists this ribosomal RNA (499 nucleotides) under uncultured Glomeromycotina. RNAcentral describes it as "partial small subunit ribosomal RNA". It matches the Rfam family "Eukaryotic small subunit ribosomal RNA", at positions 591 to 1092 of the family's 1831-position model. The record is from RNAcentral. Lineage: Eukaryota; Fungi; Glomeromycota.